Ahaetulla prasina is the source of this 3476-nucleotide RNA transcript. It is a transcript of the gene named SH3 domain binding glutamate rich protein like 2, with no coding region annotated. The record is from RefSeq and is a predicted model, not a curated record. NCBI's taxonomy places the organism in Eukaryota, Metazoa, Chordata, Lepidosauria, Squamata, Colubridae. The transcript has 5 exons.
CGCAGCCCUGCUUAUCUGCGGCGCGCCCUGCGAUCGCGGGCUCGUAGGGCGGAAGGGCUUAGAGGAGCGAGGCAGGCUAGGCGCUGGUUAGGCAGACUCUAGUCUAGGCGAAGCGGCGCGACACGGAGGCGCGGAAGGCUCGCAGCUUCUAGACUUUGGCACAGGAGGGAGCUGCCUUGAAGCGCAUGUAGGGAGGGAGGAAAGAAGGGAAGAUGGUCAUUCGGGUUUUCGUCGCGUCUUCCUCUUGUUCCGUGGCGAUAAAGAAGAAGCAACAAGACGUUGUGCGAUUUCUGGAAGCCAACAAGAUUGACUUUGAAGAAGUGGAUAUCACCAUGUCAGAGGAGCAAAGGCGGUGGAUGUAUAAAAAUAUUCCUCAAGACAAACUGCCUGCACAAGGCAACCCAUUGCCUCCCCAGAUCUUCAGCAAUGAUGAGUACUGUGGAGUAACAGAUCAUUUCAUCAUUUUGUACACCGGCUAGCAUCUAUAAAGGAUUACGACUCGUUUUUUGAAUCCAAGGAAAGUAACACCGUCUUUACAUUUCUUCGCUUGAAGUCUAAUUUGGCCUCACAGGAAUCAGAACCUUAGGAAAACUCCUUGAAGAUUCCAGAAGCACUUUGUCUGGGCGAAUGAAUUCCUCGAUGUUCAGCACGCUACACCUUCCCUCGUGGAUCACUGUGAUACAAGCCAAUAUGCACCAUUGGUAUUUUGCUUGCUGCUGAAGAGAUGAAAAUAAGACAACGGAUACAAAAAAUGGGGUGAUUGGUUGUGUUGGGUGCUCUUCUUUCUUUGCAAAUGUAGCUAAUGCUGUGGAUUAUUGUUCUGAUAUGCACUAUUAUUCCAUUUAAAUGAUGACUUAAGAUUCUCAAGAAUGGCAAAUGGCAGCAGAAUCAGAUCAUGCAUUAUAUAGUAUCAGAGAUUCAAGUGUUUACACUUUGCUGAGUUGAGAAUUACUGCAGGGAUGACCUAUUGUUCUAACUGUGAUUACAAACAUCUUGAGCUUGCAAAGUUCUCAUUUUCCAAAAUACCAAAAAAAAUAAAAAAUACAAUAAUUCUCCUUGCAGAACAUCUCAUUGUUGUGCUAUAUGUGCUAAUGUGUUUUUAUUGCCAUAAGUGGGCCUAAUAUAUAUUCCUGGUAGAAGCAAGAGCAUCAAUAUAUGGUUGCGAUUCAGCCGUACAGUGUAUAAGCCUUUCUGCAUAAAUGCCUAAUUCAAGCAAGGAUGUUUUUGCUUUGAUGGCCAUCUAAAAAUGAUCUCUUAUGAUCUCUCCACCUGAGAGACUAAGUUCUGGUGUUCAAGAACAAUACCAAAUCAACUGAUCAGCAAAAGUAGCAAAGAAGAAGUAUCAGCAAUCUGUGUCAUUCUGAACAAUAUUGCCAAAUUUUAUAUUUCCAUAUGCCUUCAAUGUCAGUGUCAAGCAUUCAUAACAGUAAAUGCUGUCAAAUAAUUGUAGAGUCAAGUUCAAAACAUGGAGUAUACCAUACAUGGUGAGUAACAUCUGUAUAAGACGGAAGCCAUGUUCAAUCACUUUAAUGGGGCAAAGGGUAGGGACUCUUCAAGAAAGGAACAUUUUCUGCCUAUAAAAUGUUUUUGGUAUUUCAUGUGAUUGUAUUGGGUGAAGACAAUAUGGUAUCUUCCACUUUUAAAGCACAUAAGAACAGACAACCCAGUGACAUACCGUGUUUCCCCAGAAAUAAAACCCUGUCUUUAUUUUUUUGAACCCUGAAAUAAGCGCUUGACCUUAUUGCCAUGUGCUCAAAACCCCAACUGGGCUUAUUAUCAGGGGAUGUCUUAUUUUGGGGGAAACAGGGUACAUCUCUAAAUGGGUGGAACUACAGAAAAAUAGCUCAGCCAGGACAUUCAGUUUGGAAGGAAAGUCCUAUUAUAUUCAAUUAAAUUUAGCCCCUGACAAGUGCACACUUCUUAUUUAGAUUCCCAAACUCUUACAAAACAUCACACCUCUUCAUUAGUACAGCUAGUUUUGGAAAUCAGCUGCCUUCUUGUCAAAGGCGCUGUUUGGUGUAAAAUUGGGCAGCUUCUGCCCAGUUUUGCUUUGGUUUAAAAUUGGGUAGGUUCUGUUUGGACAUAGCUACCAUUACCCCAAGGACCUCUUUAUAAUUCUUUAAAAAUGACAGCUGACUUCAUCAAACUGUUCAGAAAUAAAAGUAUGCAGAAGAAGAAAAGCAAAGGGAAGCUGAGGGAGCAGAGGGGUCCUGAUGACAUGGCAGAAAGCAACUUCUUUUGUUUGUCUUGACAAACGUGCAUGUCUUGCGAUUGGUCACAGCACAGUAGCAUCCACUGUGUGUUUAGAGAAACUCCUUCAUCACAGACACUUUGUAGUAGGAGCACCCAGGACCUGUUUCAUUUUUAAAAAUCCAGAUGUGUUCCAUCCCAGUCUUGCACUCUAGAACAACAUGUAAUCUUUGGGACUAAAUGACUUGAUGAAGUGUGUUAAUUUUAUUGUAUACACAGAGUUUCCCACCUGUUAGAGUUAAGUCUUAUCUUUCAUCAAGAUGUCCUCUCUAUGAGCCUCUUGAUUAGGGCAAUAAAUUCAAGUAUUCUGUUUAAGUAGAUCUGGGGUGCAAAAAUCUGGAUGACCAAUAGAUCAGGGUUCCCAAUCAGUACCACUCCAUGGCUUGUUAGGAACCGGGCCACACAGCUGGAGGUGAGCUGCGGGCAAGUGAGUGAAACCAAAACAAUCCCCCCCACCCCCGCUUCUCCCCGGUCCAUGGCAAACUUGUCUUCCAUGAAACCAGCCUCUGGUGCCAAAAAGGUUAGGGACUGCUGCCAUAGAUGUUAGAAAAAGGCGGUCUGCCUCCGAAACCACCCUAGCCCUUGGCUGCCAUCUAGUGGUCACUGAUUUUUCAGCCCAGAUCAGUUAGCUGCAUUCAGGGGAAAGCCUAUAUUUAAUAGUGAAACCAGGUAAGCGUGAUCUGUAUUCAGUUACUCACUCAAAGCUCAGGGAAGUUUCUGAAGUAUUUGUUAUGAACAGGCAUUCCAAGGGAGUGGGAAACUUUUAAGAAUCCACUGUGUUAUCCAUUCUACUGUAUACAUGCAAACCCUUGUCAUAUUUAGAAUAGGAUGAGAUUUUAGCUAAUGUUAAUGAUAAGGUGAUGUAAAUUUAGAUUUUAUUGUUGCUUUGGAUUCUGGAUUUUUUGGAAGAGGGAGCAUAUUAUUAGAAUGCAGUUGCAAAAAGUGUCCCGUUUUCAUGUCUGAAUUAGAUCACUUAAGCUCACUAGUGAAUGCUAUUCUAUAUUUAAUUAAAUGUUUGGCUUUUUUAAAUUAAAAAUUGGUCAGUCUUUCAUUUUGCUUGCUAUUAGAUUUCUCAUCCUUUGUUCUUUUAAAAUUAUUAAUGAUUGCAAUGUCCGUUUUAUCUGUUCUUUAAAGUUCUCCUUUUGGGAUGCUUCAUUCAAGCAUUCUAAACCCUGGAGAACUUGCCAAGUGCUAGAAACUCUUCUUACGUGUUGUCAAUAUGUCAG